RNAcentral lists this ribosomal RNA (194 nucleotides) under uncultured Banisveld landfill bacterium BVC52. Its description in RNAcentral is "partial 16S ribosomal RNA". It matches the Rfam family "Bacterial small subunit ribosomal RNA", at positions 338 to 524 of the family's 1533-position model. The record is from RNAcentral.
CCUACGGGAGGCAGCAGUGGGGAAUUUUGGACAAUGGGGACAACCCUGAUCCAGCCAUGCCGCGUGAGUGAAGAAGGCCUUCGGGUUGUAAAGCUCUUUCGGCCGGAACGAAAUCGCGUACGUGAAUAACGUGCGUGGAUGACGGUACUGGAAGAAGAAGCACCGGCUAACCACGUGCCAGCAGUCGCGGUAAU